Molecule: long non-coding RNA, 1136 nt
Organism: Engraulis encrasicolus (European anchovy)
Lineage: Eukaryota; Metazoa; Chordata; Actinopteri; Clupeiformes; Engraulidae
Exons: 3
Source: RefSeq, a predicted model, not a curated record
UAUGCGUCAGCCGUGAGUUCCUGUUUGUGGCGAGUAUAUUACGGCACAUUUCAUAGAAAGCUAUACCCAUUUCGAGUAGGCCUAAUAGGAGGAAACGGUAACUAAUCUUUUAAGGGGAGCAAAUGAAUAAGCACUCUGUCAUAACUGCAGCGGUUUGCUAUCCUGUGGUGGAUUUGGGAAUAUAUUUGCUACAUUUCAUUGGAAAGUAGUAUGUUCGUCCAGCCUUCGUCCAGGUUCUGUCAACGGUGGUUAGUUAGCUAAUAACCAAGACACUACGGUGGACUUCUCUCCUCUGACCGGUUACCAAGACAGCUGGGUGUGUAGGAAACUGGAACUAAGUCACUGAAGAAGUAAACCGAUGAAAACCGAUUUGGAUUGUCUGAGAGAUGUAAGUCAGUGAGUUCAGGAUAAAUGUGUAUCAACUGUAUUGUAGGCUUAUUACUUGAACAAUAAAAUCACAACAACUGCUUAUUUUUCAGCUGUAGGGCACAAGUAAGAGGAGAAGAAUGCUGCUCAGCUGGGUCGGCGUCGGCCACACUACUUAUUCAAGAAGCCCUUGGAUAUCAUCGGCAUGUAUGAAGUAAGUUUUUAAUGUCAUGCACAACAGCAGGCGUGAAUGCGCUCGCACACGCGCGCACACACACACACACACACACACACACACACACACACACACACACACACACACACUAACAAUGAGAGCUGGCCUGAUAUUGUUCUUUGAUGCUGUGAAUGUGUAUGGAAUGCCUACUGUCUGGUGUCACUUCAGACAAUUUUGCUACGGUUUACUGUAUGUUCUGUCUAUCUGUCUGCCAAACUCUCAAACUUGUUGUCUGUCUUUUUGUCUUCCUCUUUGGGCACCGGCAGGCACUGUCAUUCCGGUAGUCCGUUCCUCGAUGGACGUGAUGACCUGGCACCAAAACCGCUUAAUGUGUACGGAGCUGUGUCUGCAUCGAGGGAAGAACGCGGCACUGAAAUGACACAAAUGAAAGAAGAUUACUUCUGCUCUGCUGGGUCUGUGACACUAUUUAUCCGAGGAGUCCUCAAACAUCAGGAUGUAGGAAGUAAGAUCUUUUUAUGUCAUGCAUAACAGCCCAUGCGUGCACGCACACGCACGCACACACACACACCACACA